AAUAUUGCACAAUGGGGGAAACCCUGAUGCAGCGACGCCGCGUGAGUGAAGAAGUAUUUCGGUAUGUAAAGCUCUAUCAGCAGGGAAGAAAAUGACGGUACCUGACUAAGAAGCCCCGGCUAACUACGUGCCAGCAGCCGCGGUAAUACGUAGGGGGCAAGCGUUAUCCGGAUUUACUGGGUGUAAAGGGAGCGUAGGUGGCAAAUCAAGUCAGAUGUGAAAGCCCGGGGCUCAACUCCGGGAUUGCAUUUGAAACUGGUAUGCUAGAGUGCAGGAGAGGUAAGUGGAAUUCCUAGUGUAGCGGUGAAAUGCGUAGAUAUUAGGAGGAACACCAGUGGCGAAGGCGGCUUACUGGACUGUAACUGACACUGAGGCUCGAAAGCGUGGGGAGCAAACAG
This 398-nucleotide ribosomal RNA is filed under the name uncultured bacterium. RNAcentral's name for it is "bacterial SSU rRNA". It matches the Rfam family "Bacterial small subunit ribosomal RNA", at positions 360 to 775 of the family's 1533-position model. The record is from RNAcentral.